RNAcentral lists this ribosomal RNA (1509 nucleotides) under Weissella confusa. RNAcentral's name for it is "bacterial SSU rRNA". It matches the Rfam family "Bacterial small subunit ribosomal RNA". Lineage: Bacteria; Bacillati; Bacillota; Bacilli; Lactobacillales; Lactobacillaceae. The record is from RNAcentral.
UUCAGGAUGAACGCUGGCGGCGUGCCUAAUACAUGCAAGUCGAACGCUUUGUGGUUCAACUGAUUUGAAGAGCUUGCUCAGAUAUGACGAUGGACAUUGCAAAGAGUGGCGAACGGGUGAGUAACACGUGGGAAACCUACCUCUUAGCAGGGGAUAACAUUUGGAAACAGAUGCUAAUACCGUAUAACAAUGACAACCGCAUGGUUGUUAUUUAAAAGAUGGUUCUGCUAUCACUAAGAGAUGGUCCCGCGGUGCAUUAGCUAGUUGGUAAGGUAAUGGCUUACCAAGGCGAUGAUGCAUAGCCGAGUUGAGAGACUGAUCGGCCACAAUGGGACUGAGACACGGCCCAUACUCCUACGGGAGGCAGCAGUAGGGAAUCUUCCACAAUGGGCGAAAGCCUGAUGGAGCAACGCCGCGUGUGUGAUGAAGGGUUUCGGCUCGUAAAACACUGUUGUAAGAGAAGAAUGACAUUGAGAGUAACUGUUCAAUGUGUGACGGUAUCUUACCAGAAAGGAACGGCUAAAUACGUGCCAGCAGCCGCGGUAAUACGUAUGUUCCAAGCGUUAUCCGGAUUUAUUGGGCGUAAAGCGAGCGCAGACGGUUAUUUAAGUCUGAAGUGAAAGCCCUCAGCUCAACUGAGGAAUUGCUUUGGAAACUGGAUGACUUGAGUGCAGUAGAGGAAAGUGGAACUCCAUGUGUAGCGGUGAAAUGCGUAGAUAUAUGGAAGAACACCAGUGGCGAAGGCGGCUUUCUGGACUGUAACUGACGUUGAGGCUCGAAAGUGUGGGUAGCAAACAGGAUUAGAUACCCUGGUAGUCCACACCGUAAACGAUGAGUGCUAGGUGUUUGAGGGUUUCCGCCCUUAAGUGCCGCAGCUAACGCAUUAAGCACUCCGCCUGGGGAGUACGACCGCAAGGUUGAAACUCAAAGGAAUUGACGGGGACCCGCACAAGCGGUGGAGCAUGUGGUUUAAUUCGAAGCAACGCGAAGAACCUUACCAGGUCUUGACAUCCCUUGACAACUCCAGAGAUGGAGCGUUCCCUUCGGGGACAAGGUGACAGGUGGUGCAUGGUUGUCGUCAGCUCGUGUCGUGAGAUGUUGGGUUAAGUCCCGCAACGAGCGCAACCCUUAUUACUAGUUGCCAGCAUUCAGUUGGGCACUCUAGUGAGACUGCCGGUGACAAACCGGAGGAAGGUGGGGAUGACGUCAAAUCAUCAUGCCCCUUAUGACCUGGGCUACACACGUGCUACAAUGGCGUAUACAACGAGUUGCCAACCCGCGAGGGUGAGCUAAUCUCUUAAAGUACGUCUCAGUUCGGAUUGUAGGCUGCAACUCGCCUACAUGAAGUCGGAAUCGCUAGUAAUCGCGGAUCAGCACGCCGCGGUGAAUACGUUCCCGGGUCUUGUACACACCGCCCGUCACACCAUGAGAGUUUGUAACACCCAAAGCCGGUGGGGUAACCUUCGGGAGCCAGCCGUCUAAGGUGGGACAGAUGAUUAGGGUGAAUCU